Molecule: ribosomal RNA, 484 nt
Filed under: uncultured bacterium
Lineage: Bacteria
Description: partial 16S ribosomal RNA
Rfam family: Bacterial small subunit ribosomal RNA
Source: RNAcentral
AUUGAACGCUGGCGGCAUGCUUUACACAUGCAAGUCGAACGGCAGCGCGGGCUUCGGCCUGGCGGCGAGUGGCGAACGGGUGAGUAAUGCGUCGGAACGUGCCCAGUAGUGGGGGAUAGCCCGGCGAAAGCCGGAUUAAUACCGCAUACGACCUGAGGGUGAAAGCGGGGGACCGAAAGGCCUCGCGCUAUUGGAGGGGCCGAUGUCGGAUUAGCUAGUUGGUGGGGUAAAGGCUUACCAAGGCGACGAUCCGUAGCUGGUCUGAGAGGACGACCAGCCACACUGGGACUGAGACACGGCCCAGACUCCUACGGGAGGCAGCAGUGGGGAAUUUUGGACAAUGGGGGCAACCCUGAUCCAGCCAUGCCGCGUGCGGGAAGAAGGCCUUCGGGUUGUAAACCGCUUUUGUUCGGGAAGAAAUCCUCUGGGCUAAUACCCCGGGGGGAUGACGGUACCGGAAGAAUAAGCACCGGCUAACUACGUG